CCUACAGGCGGCUGCAGUGGGGGAUAUUGCACAAUGGGGGAAACCCUGAUGCAGCGACGCCGCGUGUGGGAAGACGGUCCUCUGGAUUGUAAACCACUGUCCCCAGGGACGAAGAUGACGGUACCUGGGGAGGAAGCUCCGGCUAACUACGUGCCAGCAGCCGCGGUAAUACGUAGGGAGCGAGCGUUGUCCGGAAUUACUGGGUGUAAAGGGAGCGUAGGCGGGACUGCAAGUUGGGUGUCAAAUCUCCCGGCUCAACCGGUAGCCGCACUCAAAACUGCAGUUCUUGAGUGAAGUAGAGGCAGGCGGAAUUGCUAGUGUAGCGGUGAAAUGCGUAGAUAUUAGGAGGAACACCAGUGGCGAAGGCGGCCUGCUGGGCUUUUACUGACGCUGAGGCUCGAAAGUGUGGGGAGCAAACAGGAUUAGAUACCCUUGUAGUC
Molecule: ribosomal RNA, 440 nt
Filed under: uncultured bacterium
Lineage: Bacteria
Description: partial 16S ribosomal RNA
Rfam family: Bacterial small subunit ribosomal RNA
Source: RNAcentral